GUGGGGAAUAUUGGACAAUGGGGGGAACCCUGAUCCAGCCAUGCCGCGUGUGUGAAGAAGGCCUUUUGGUUGUAAAGCACUUUAAGCGAGGAGGAGGCUACCGAGAUUAAUACUCUUGGAUAGUGGACGUUACUCGCAGAAUAAGCACCGGCUAACUCUGUGCCAGCAGCCGCGGUAAUACAGAGGGUGCAAGCGUUAAUCGGAUUUACUGGGCGUAAAGCGCGCGUAGGUGGCCAAUUAAGUCAAAUGUGAAAUCCCCGAGCUUAACUUGGGAAUUGCAUUGGAUGCUGGUUGGCUAGAGUAUGGGAGAGGAUGGUAGAAUUCCAGGUGUAGCGGUGAAAUGCGUAGAGAUCUGGAGGAAUACCGAUGGCGAAGGCAGCCAUCUGGCCUAAUACUGACACUGAGGUGCGAAAGCAUGGGGAGCAAACAGGAUUAGAAACCCCGGUAGUCC
RNAcentral lists this ribosomal RNA (451 nucleotides) under uncultured bacterium. Its description in RNAcentral is "partial 16S ribosomal RNA". It matches the Rfam family "Bacterial small subunit ribosomal RNA", at positions 354 to 796 of the family's 1533-position model. The record is from RNAcentral.